GUGUCCUUCCCUUUUGAGGGGCAGAGUGAGGGUAGUGGGGGUGGAGGGAAGCUUUGGGUUCUAGGGACAUUGCUGAUUGCCAGCCUUUUCUGUGUGAGCUUUGGAGCAGUGAAGAUGGUGAUGAAGGGGCCCUAGGAUCAAUGUGAAACAGAGACCAAUCCCUUGUCCAGCUGUCCUUCUUCUCUCCAGGAAUUAAGGAGGAGAAGACUCAUAGUAAAAGAAAAAAAGGCUGAAAGUGGAGGGUGACUCAAGGACUGUCUCCCGUAGUGGCUUGCAGACUCACUGGUGUUGGCACGCCUGUCUGUACAUAUCAUAGCCUCCACUGGUAGCCAUAAGCCCCCGUCCUGUUCCUGUGCUUGGGCAACUCAGGGAGCAUCUUUGCAGUUUUCUUUUCCCUCUUUUGCAAGAAUGCAGAUGAUGGACGGAACCGAUGAAAAAGAAACUGCCCACAAUCUCAGCAGAUGCCUUUUCUUCUUGGUCCUUUCCUCACGUGUGCAAAAGGGCCUGGAAAACCUCCUUCUGGCGAGACACCUGCCCUGAAGGGAUGUCCACUCUGCUGCAGUAUCGUAUCAGCCCUCUUCCACUGGGACGGCCUGAGCCCUGCAGAGGCUCGGUCUCGAAGACGUGUCUGUCUGUCUGUCUUUCCCCAGCCUGGACCUGGCUAACCUGAAGGUGCUGCUCCUGGGAAACUUCUGGCCUGGCUGGGGGUUGGGACAUGAACAUCCAGGUGCAGGACCGUGCCUUGUCCUUAGUUGUGGGAUCUGUGACCUCUGACCCCUGCUUCUCGGCCAACUCACUCAUUGGGCACGUCUCGAACAACCAGCGGAUGGUCUGCACAUCACCCUUGAGGGGUGCCUCAGGCUGAGGGCCUCCCGGAGGCAUUCCUUCCUCUUCCUGUCGUUCCUGCUGCUCCCGUUGGUGGAUUACCUCCAGGGGCUGAGUCUCAAAGAGCCACCGGGCAGUGCCCACAUCUCCAGCCACCACUUCCUCCCGGGUGAUGCCCCGCACCACGUCGACGGUACUGGGGUUUCGACCUAGUUGGUCUAGGGGCUGUGUCUCAAACAUCCACCUGUAGCCCUGCACAUCACCUCCCACGACCUGCUCUCUGCUGACGGAUGUCAGGGCAUGAAGGUGGCCUUUGCCAUCCUGCAGGGCGUACACUGGGGACCCUAUGUCUUGGGACUGCUCAGCAGAAUCAGUUCCUUCUGCUCUGCUUACAUUCCCAUGGGCCAAAGCUUCACCCUGCCUGAUGCUAUCCAGGGGAAGGGUCUCGAAAAGAUUCUUGAAGGUCUUUACAUCCCCCUUCACCACAUCCCCCUGGGGCGCACACUGAGAGAGGGACAGCGCUGAGGAGC
RNAcentral lists this long non-coding RNA (1355 nucleotides) under Sus scrofa (pig). RNAcentral describes it as "lncRNA (ENSSSCG00070011508.1)". Lineage: Eukaryota; Metazoa; Chordata; Mammalia; Artiodactyla; Suidae. The record is from RNAcentral.